GCGUAAUAUUUUUUAUUUUCCUAUACAUGAUCCAAUAUUCAAAGAAAAGAAUUCGCAAACAAGCAGCCAACUAUCGAUAUUUAAAGAAAAAGCAGAAAACGUAAAGUGUGUAGAACACAUUGCCAACGUAGAAGGCCGGUUUGAUCACCAAGCCAUGAAACUGCAGGCACCAAGUUGACACCCACAUCUGUCAAGGGAGGUACUGCCACCGGCUGCAGAAAACAAAAACCAAAAGAGAGAAACUAGGUCUUCUAAAGUAAGUCUGAGGAAAUUCCUACCUCCAUCGUGAACUCACAUACGAUAUGAAUGAUGAAAAUUUUCAAUUCAUUAUGCUUUAAAAUAGUGCAUUAUUUUCCCC
Molecule: unclassified non-coding RNA, 358 nt
Filed under: Hevea brasiliensis (rubber tree)
Lineage: Eukaryota; Viridiplantae; Streptophyta; Magnoliopsida; Malpighiales; Euphorbiaceae
Source: RNAcentral